GGAAGCGAACCGAGCCAUGGACCCUCAGGACUGCACCUGUGCUGCUGGUGACUCCUGCUCCUGCGCUGGGUCGUGCGAGUGCAAGAACUGCCGCUGCCGGAGCUGCCGUAAGAGCUGCUGCUCCUGCUGCCCUGCCGGCUGCAACAACUGUGCCAAGGGCUGUGUGUGCAAGGAGCCGGCCAGCAGCAAGUGCAGCUGCUGCCACUGAGCCGCCUACCUUGCCUGUAAAU
Lagopus muta (rock ptarmigan) is the source of this 230-nucleotide long non-coding RNA. RefSeq lists it as uncharacterized. The transcript is spliced from 3 exons. The record is from RefSeq and is a predicted model, not a curated record. NCBI's taxonomy places the organism in Eukaryota, Metazoa, Chordata, Aves, Galliformes, Phasianidae.